Molecule: transfer RNA, 74 nt
Filed under: Spea bombifrons (plains spadefoot toad)
Lineage: Eukaryota; Metazoa; Chordata; Amphibia; Anura; Pelobatidae
Description: tRNA-Lys
Source: RNAcentral
CACUAAGAAGCUAGACAGGAACAAGCGACAGCCUUUUAAGCUGUAGACGGGUGACUCCUAACCACCCUUAGUGA